This 75-nucleotide transfer RNA is filed under the name Elusimicrobia bacterium CG11_big_fil_rev_8_21_14_0_20_64_6. Its description in RNAcentral is "tRNA-Arg". It matches the Rfam family "tRNA". From Rfam's summary of the family: Transfer RNA (tRNA) molecules are approximately 80 nucleotides in length. Their secondary structure includes four short double-helical elements and three loops (D, anti-codon, and T loops). Further hydrogen bonds mediate the characteristic L-shaped molecular structure. tRNAs have two regions of fundamental functional importance: the anti-codon, which is responsible for specific mRNA codon recognition, and the 3' end, to which the tRNAs corresponding amino acid is attached (by aminoacyl-tRNA synthetases). tRNAs cope with the degeneracy of the genetic code in two manners: having more than one tRNA (with a specific anti-codon) for a particular amino acid; and 'wobble' base-pairing, i.e. permitting non-standard base-pairing at the 3rd anti-codon position. RNAcentral also lists the same sequence under 1 other name. The record is from RNAcentral. Lineage: Bacteria; Pseudomonadati; Elusimicrobiota.
GGGUCCGUAGCUCAACGGAUAGAGUACUUGGCUUCGAACCAAGUGAUCCGGGUUCGAUUCCUGGCGGGCCCACCA